GACGAACGCUGGCGGCGUGCUUAACACAUGCAAGUCGAACGGAAAGGCCCUGCUUUUGUGGGGUGCUCGAGUGGCGAACGGGUGAGUAACACGUGAGUAACCUGCCCUUGACUUUGGGAUAACUUCAGGAAACUGGGGCUAAUACCGGAUAGGAGCUCCUGCUGCAUGGUGGGGGUUGGAAAGUUUCGGCGGUUGGGGAUGGACUCGCGGCUUAUCAGCUUGUUGGUGGGGUAGUGGCUUACCAAGGCUUUGACGGGUAGCCGGCCUGAGAGGGUGACCGGCCACAUUGGGACUGAGAUACGGCCCAGACUCCUACGGGAGGCAGCAGGGGGGAAUAUUACGCAAUAGGCGGGAGCCUGAUGCAGCAGCGCCGCGUGCGGAAUGACGGCCUUCGGGUUGUAAACCGCUUUCGCCUGUGACGAAGCGUGAGUGACGGUAAUGGGUAAAGAAGCACCGGCUAACUACGUG
RNAcentral lists this ribosomal RNA (468 nucleotides) under uncultured bacterium. Its description in RNAcentral is "partial 16S ribosomal RNA". It matches the Rfam family "Bacterial small subunit ribosomal RNA", at positions 28 to 507 of the family's 1533-position model. The record is from RNAcentral.